UACGGGGGAUGCAAGCGUUAUCCGGAUUUAUUGGGUUUAAAGGGUGCGUAGGCUGUGAGGUAAGUCAGCGGUGAAAUGCCCCCGCUCAACGGGGUGAAGUGCCAUUGAUACUGCCUUGCUGGAAUGCGGAUGCCGUGGGAGGAAUGUGUGGUGUAGCGGUGAAAUGCAUAGAUACCACACAGAACACCGAUUGCGAAGGCAUCUCACGAAUCCGCGAUUGACGCUGAUGCACGAAAGCGUGGGUAUCAAACAGG
This 254-nucleotide ribosomal RNA is filed under the name uncultured bacterium. RNAcentral's name for it is "partial 16S ribosomal RNA". It matches the Rfam family "Bacterial small subunit ribosomal RNA", at positions 524 to 776 of the family's 1533-position model. The record is from RNAcentral.